This 253-nucleotide ribosomal RNA is filed under the name uncultured bacterium. RNAcentral's name for it is "partial 16S ribosomal RNA". It matches the Rfam family "Bacterial small subunit ribosomal RNA", at positions 524 to 776 of the family's 1533-position model. The record is from RNAcentral.
UACAGAGGGUGCAAACGUUGCUCGGAGUUACUGGGCGUAAAGCGUGCGCAGGCGGUGAUGUAAGACAGAUGUGAAAUCCCCGGGCUCAACCUGGGAACUGCAUUUGUGACUGCAUCGCUGGAGUGCGGCAGAGGGGGAUGGAAUUCCGCGUGUAGCAGUGAAAUGCGUAGAUAUGCGGAGGAACACCGAUGGCGAAGGCAAUCCCCUGGGCCUGCACUGACGCUCAUGCACGAAAGCGUGGGGAGCAAACAGG